UCAGAAACCCAGGGACGAACUCUCAUUCUUUCAAAACCCUAACUCCUCUAAAUUCACUCAAAAUCCAAGAAAUAAAACCCAAUUGAAGGUGAAUCAAGGCUGAAUUUGUGAUCCUCAUACUUAGUAGGUCACAAGUCUUGUGAUAUUGGAUGUUGAUUGAUGGUGAUUUGGGUGGAUCAUCAAGUGGACAAGGCGGGUCGGAUAACCGCUUAAAAGGAAAGCUUUGA
RNAcentral lists this long non-coding RNA (227 nucleotides) under Helianthus annuus (common sunflower). RNAcentral's name for it is "hypothetical non coding rna". Lineage: Eukaryota; Viridiplantae; Streptophyta; Magnoliopsida; Asterales; Asteraceae. The record is from RNAcentral.